Sapajus apella (tufted capuchin) is the source of this 3008-nucleotide long non-coding RNA. RefSeq lists it as uncharacterized. The transcript has 2 exons. The record is from RefSeq and is a predicted model, not a curated record. NCBI's taxonomy places the organism in Eukaryota, Metazoa, Chordata, Mammalia, Primates, Cebidae.
GCUAAUUUUGUAUUUUUAUUCAUUCAAUUGAUAAUUGAGUGAUAUGUAAAAUAGCAAAUAUUUAUUGAGCUUCGCAUUUUACUAGACAGUGUUCUAAAUUCCUCCUAUGUUCAUUUUGUUUAAUCUUCCGUCCCUCCCUAUGCGGUAGGUAUUUACAUCUCAUUUUGCUGAUGAAGGAAUGGAAGCUUAGAGAGAGUAACUUGCCUCAGGUGCCACAGCUAGUGGAUGUCACAGUGUUAAGUAGAGCAGUGAUUCAAAGUGUAGGAUCUAGUAUCUGCUCUGAUUUAUGCAAUCCAACAGAACAAAUAGUUGACAGUCCUGGGAGUCACUGAGGAAAAGUUAUUUGAGUGGGAAAAAAAUAUCUUGUUGAAAUUGAAGACAUUUUCAUGGUUGCUUGCUAACCAACUGACCACAUGCUAACCAACUAUACCAACCUUUCAGCAUGCAUUCUCAAGUGGGAACAGUCUUGACUACAGUUCGGUAGUAAUUUGCACAGUAUUUGAGGGUUUAAAAAAGAGCAGUAGGCCAGACCCAGUGGCUCACACCUGAAGUCCCAGCCCUUUGAGAGGCUAAGGCAGUUGAAUCACUUGAGCCCAGGAGUUUGAGACCAGCCUGGGCAGCAUGGUGAAAACUUGUCUCUGCAAAACAUGCAAAAAUUAGCCAGCCUGUACAACAAAGCAAGAUCCUAUCUCAGGGGAAAAAAAAAAAAAAAAAAAGGGAGCAGCAUAGCUUUCCAGUUGUACUUGGGUUAUUAUUCAAUUCCAAAUCAUAUGCUAUUCACGAACUGUUCAAAAUAAAUAUAUGGAUUAUAUAUUAUCUAAGGACAUGUUCAUUAGGAUAUCUGUCUUCAGUCCUGAUUCAGGACUAAAGGUGAGACUUCAUCUUCUGAAAAAAAAUUGGUAUUAAUGUUUUGUUUCUUUUUUUGAGAAGGUGAAUUUAUUCUUUUUUACAGCUCAUGUGAAAUACAUCAAGUGCUUUUGGGAUCUCUGAUAUGAAGGAUUCUGUUAAAAUAUCAGGUUAUCAUUUUAUCCUGCCUUAUGAGUUUUCUAUUGCUAUGUAAUAAAUUACUACAAUCUUAGCCUAAAACCACACCCAUGUAUCAUCUCACAGUUCUCUAGUAGUUUUGUAGUUCCAUAGGUCAGAACACCUAGUAGGCUGGACUGGGUUCUCUGCUUAGGGUCUCAUAAGGCCAAGAUCAACAUGUUGACCAUGCUGGUAUCUCAUCUGGAGGCUCCUGGGAAGAAUCAACUUUCAGGUUCAUUCAGGUUGUUAGCAGAAUUCAGAUCCUUGGGUCUGUAGGUCUGAAGGCGCCGUUUCCUCGAUACAUGGCUGCCCUGGCUUCAUCAAGUCCUUCUUAUGUGUAAGAUCUGACUUCUGCCACCCGCCAAAGACUUAGCUUUAUAAACAGCUCAUGUGUAGAUUAUGCUCACUGGGAUAAUCUCUCUUAAAGUCAGCUGUACCAUGUGGCGUAAUAUUAUUCAUAGGGACUGAUACAUUAUCACAGCCACAGGUUCUACCUACAGCCCUUAUACCAGGGUAAAAGGUCAUCAGGGGGUCAGUCUGAGGAUUCGAUCACAGCUAUUAAUUUUCAUUGUUAAAUAUUGUUGUGAAGGUCACAUUUUUGGUACAAUAGGCAACUUUUCUUCUCUCAGGUCUCAUUCUGUCCUUCUUACCCCCCUUCCUUGAACAUAAUUGUUUCUUCCUUUAAAACAGUCAGCCUCUUUUUCCUCUUUGUUUGGUAGCACACUUGUCCUUAAUGUCACCCAUGGCUCUUCAAGGAAACUGAAUUUACCUUUUAGGAUAGCAUUCCCUGAAAUCACCUUUGUGUUUAUCAGUUAUAUAAGAAAUAUUGUUUGACUGCAGACAUUAUCACUAUCAUCCCUGUGCUUCAGUUCCCUAAGCCUGAGUAUUUAAUGUAGGAUUUAGCUGCUCACAGACAUGGACAAGGUAUUCUUCAUCUGUGUGAUCUGCAGAUAAGCUGCACCUUAUUUUUUCAUUCUUUCCUCUCUUGCAUUAAGAUCCGAAGAUGUCUCCCUGCCUACAAGUUCAAGAAGUAUAUUACAACCCUGUAUAUCUCUCAUCAUUCUUUAGCCUAGUAAUGCUGCUGUAAUUCCACUUUAUCUCACAGCAGGGUCCAGCAGAAAGCACAUCAGUAAUGAAAAACAGUAAUUCAAAACCAUGUGCAGUGGAACGUUUGAAGGCUUAUAGAUCCAUCUGAAGCAACGGGAUUUCUCAGGCUGCCUAGAGAACCUGAAUAGGUUAUAGUUGCAGAAACUACAUAAUUCUGCUCAUAGUGUAGCGUGAGGGCUUAUACCGGGCAGAAUGGGUAAUGUGUCUGCAUUUCCCCAAGUCCCUCAGGCAGGUUUUUUUUUCCAGUUAGUGUUAGUCACUGAAGAAGAAAAUGUUUAUAUAAAAGCUUUAGUGUAUAAUUUAGGAUUUUUCACAUAUAAGGGGAAUUGCAGGAUUUUUAGUUUUGUCUUUUGAACUAAUUUAGAACAAAGAUGGGAUAGUUGUCUUUGGUUGUAAGGAAAAUUGUAAAACCCCCUGAGGUCUGAUGUUGGGUAGGAAAAUAAGAAAAGGAAAUACUUACAAGAUUCAUGUAUUGUCUCAUUUCAGUUGAGAUGGUAGUUUUGAGCAAGUGUUUGUGUCUGAUUGAUUCAUGCGCUAUUUAUUAAAUGUCUACUUCAUACCAGGUAGACAUAAUAUACAGGACAUAUGUAUUAUGUACCAACAAUGGACUGUGCUCUUAAGGAUCCCAUACUCUAGGGGGUGAGAAAUAGACUUCUUCCAGAAAUAGUGUUGUGAGAUAAGUGCUACUAGAUAAGUGAGUGGGUACCCAGAGGUGAAAUUCUAUAGUGGUUGGAGAAGGCUUGAUAAGGGAGCUGACAAUUGAACAGUCUUGAAGAGACAGGAGUUUGUGCCAGGCAGGCAAGUGGGGGCAGGGAGCAUUCGGGGCAGAGGAAAUGUCAUUUGUGAGGAGAGUGAGGAAUUUGUUAAGGCUGGUGCCU